Molecule: long non-coding RNA, 1079 nt
Organism: Dermochelys coriacea (leatherback sea turtle)
Lineage: Eukaryota; Metazoa; Chordata; Testudines; Dermochelyidae
Exons: 3
Source: RefSeq, a predicted model, not a curated record
GCUCGUUUCCGCACAGGAGUGGAAUGGGGAGGUGCAGAGGGCUGUAUUUCAUUUCUCCUGAGGGCUGGGCCAUACGUGUGGGACUAAACACUCCUAGCCCCCCUUUCCCCGCAGAGCGGGGCUGGUGCCCCUGGCAGGUUCGAGGGGAGAACUGCUCUUUCUGAUGCCCCAGAACCAGACUGUCCUAUGCAGUAUCAAUCUCUCCCCAUUAAGCUCCCGCUCUCACUGCUUCUCUCCCUUCUCCAGCCCCCCAACCCAUGUCCUGUGCGUCAUUCCUCUCUUCCCUCUGCCCUUCCUCCCCCAUGGCAGAUCCCAUCUGCCCCCACGUGGGCUUCAGUUCCCCUCACACCUGCCUCCUCUACGUGUGGGCUCAGCAAUGCUAGAGUGAUGCUUCCACUGAUGUGUCAUGGCUGAACUUCGGAGUGAAGCACCAUAUUGAGGGCCAUGGGGGAGCUCACCCCUCGCCGAGCUAUUGUUUCAGGCUCUCUGCAGACACAGGCAGAUGUCAUGAUCACCUUUGAAGGUCGUCUUCACCACCAGAAGGACUAGAUGCUCCGAUUCUGAAUAUGGGCCCGGGCCCCAUCACGGCACCAAGCAGGCGAGAUGCAGCCUGUGGGUGGCUUGACUGGCAGCCCAGCAGGGGACGAUGCUGGAGCUGCCUUCUGUCAGAGGAGCUGUUACACCUGGGUCCUCACCACUCCUGGGCCCUGAAGAUCCUGUCGCGCUUCCUGUAAGGAAGGCCAACACCACUUGCUUGGCUAACAAUACCUGUCCACCCACCACCUAUUGAGAAGCAGGUGGCAGCUUGGCAGGGUGAUGGCUCCCUCUUUUCUGAUGUACCCACCGGGAACGCGGGGCUGUAUAUAAGGAGGGGAAGCGCUGCCUGCCUGACACUUCACUCAGCAGCCUGGACAGCAAGCGCCAGGAAAGAGCAGAGCCAGCAAAGGCAAUUUCCAGAGAUGAACCUGAUGCUUCAAGUCACCUUCCUCGGUCUCCUGUCCCUGCUGGUGCAGGGUUGGGUUCAGAACUAAUCCCUGCAGAGUUAGAGAUGGAGCAUGCUGGACCUGCCGCGGAACAGA